GCCAGGAUCGGUCUAUACAUACCUAUAGUUCCAAGUACUAGGAGGCUGAGGCGGGGGCAUCACUUGAGGCCAGUUCUGGCCUGUAAGGUACUGGGCCAAUAGGGUGUGCAGAUUAAGUUCAGCAUCAAAACGGAGACCUCCCAGAGCAAGGGACCACCAGGUUGCCUAAGGAGGGGUGACUAGGCCUAGGUCAAAAACUGAACAGGUCUAAACUCCCAUGCUGAUCAGUAGUGGAGUCAGGCCUGUGAAUGGCCACUGCACUCCAGCCUGGACAAUAUAGCAAGACCCCAUCUCUU
This is a non-coding RNA of Otolemur garnettii (small-eared galago), 296 nucleotides long. Lineage: Eukaryota; Metazoa; Chordata; Mammalia; Primates; Galagidae. The record is from Rfam.